Prunus avium (sweet cherry) is the source of this 1874-nucleotide non-coding RNA. The record is from RefSeq and is a predicted model, not a curated record. Lineage: Eukaryota; Viridiplantae; Streptophyta; Magnoliopsida; Rosales; Rosaceae.
UAGACUAGAAGGUGGGGGAUGGGAUUUGAUGACAGAUGUUUUGGUUUGAAAAUGGAGGAACUGUUCUUGAUUUAAACAUUAUUUUUGAAACUGCAUGAAAUUAAUUGUGUAGGUUAUGUGGGAUCUUCUGUAGUUGUGUGGUAUCGAUCUUAUUGACUCUGAAAUGUUGUUUGAUAUGAAAAAAACUGUAUUCUUAUAUUGCAAAUCAAGAAAAGACUGUUCCAUGUUAAUUAGUCGAUGUUCAUUUGUGGUUUCCCUAUUUGAACCUGAAAUUUUAUUCUUCCAAGUGUCACUCACUGCGGUUCUCGUGAAUUGCUCGGUAUUUUCUGAUCUUGGUUUCUUAAAAAUUUUGGUAAGUGUUGAAUAUAAGAGAGAAUGAAAACAGAGCUGCUUCGGAUUGGAAAACAUGUUAAAUCAGUAAGAAACCCGUGUAUGAUGUAAACCUAAUUUCCACAUAAUCUAGUCUCCUUGGUGAUGACCUGUGACCGUCGUCGUUAAACGUAAGCUAUGUUGGAAAGGUGAGUUCCAUGGUUGGAGAUAUGAUUUAACCCGUUUUAGCGUCGAUGAGUGGAAUUUGAGAUCAAGGUCUGUAAGCUCAAAAAUGGUAGAGCGCUCGGGUCCAUAAUUGGGCUUUGGGAGGAUGGUGGUUCGAAUCCACCCAGAUCUAAAAUAACAAUACCAUUUAAAAUUCAUGUGUUUCGGUUUUAUGUUUUCUUUACUCUUUAACCUCAUAUAGCUGUCAGGCAAACAAAAAGAGCCCAGGGCCGGCAGCAACAGGGAACAACUGGCGGCAAAGCAAAACAAGGACCAAGGCAGGCUGCCGAAGCUGAGAGACAACCAAGACAGCCAAAAGUGAGCUAAGCAAGCAACAGUAGGCACCAUUAAUCUAAUUAUUAUUAACGAUAAAUGUCAGGUCAUCUUCUCCCUGACUAAUACAUGAUUAGUGAAAUACCUUUCCAUUGAAGGAAUCUUGAGGACUAUGUCGAUAUUUAUUUGUGUUCGAUUUCAAUAUCGCUUGUAUAAAAAAAAAAGUUUUACAUUAAAGAAACCUAGUAUGAUUUUGUUAUUCUCUUUAUGUAUCUAAAUCUAAAGGUUGUGACCUAUGAAAUUUGAUGUUAAUGCGUGCAAUUUGACCAAGAUUUGUUGAAGGAAUAAUAGGUUUGGGCCAAAAACCCCAGCCCAAUUCUCAUUUUUUCGGGCCGUAGUCUCUUAUCUUUUUUCUUAGGUCCGGCCCGGUUAAAACUAUUCAAGGACUGUAAUUUCGAGCUUGGGCUUUUCCAAAUUCCGAAAUAUCUAGAAUGAAAGGCGCGAGAGAAACCUAAUUAUAGUGGACCCAGCUGUCAAGGCGGCAAAAUAAACGUGUCGAGGUUGAUAAGGUCAAAAACAGUAACGUGGAAAAUUAUACCACCGCCUAACCACCCAACCACGUUAUAACAUACCAGCCGUCGAUCUUAAAGAUAAGGGCGCAAUGGCAGCCGUCCAUCGCAUUUAUCCUAUUAUAAAAGUACGUUAGGUUGGGUUGGUUCCUAACCAUUCAACGACUCAAUGUUCUCUCUCUCUUCGCAUCUCUAUGCGCCUCCGUGGUUCCUCUCUUGCAGAUCUGUUCUGCAAGGAUUCUUUUCUCUUCCUUUAUGUCUCGAAUUCGCGUAGGUCUUUUCAAGAUCUACGUUUUCAUGGUGAUUUGAGGCUGUGAAGAUGUUUUGAGCUGCUGGUUCGUAGCUGGUUUUACGAGCUUGAGCUCGUCUUCUUCGUGCUUUGGCUCAGAUUUAGAGUUUCUGAUUGACUAUGAUGGAGUUCAUAGCAAGUCCUCGGAGUUUCCAAGACUUGACCGUUUUGAACCAAAUCCGACGUCGUUUCAGCUGCAGAUCUGGUUC